Molecule: ribosomal RNA, 459 nt
Filed under: Bacillus sp. (in: firmicutes)
Lineage: Bacteria; Bacillati; Bacillota; Bacilli; Caryophanales; Bacillaceae
Description: bacterial SSU rRNA
Rfam family: Bacterial small subunit ribosomal RNA
Source: RNAcentral
GCAGUCGAGCGGACAGAAGGGAGCUUGCUCCCGGAUGUUAGCGGCGGACGGGUGAGUAACACGUGGGUAACCUGCCUGUAAGACUGGGAUAACUCCGGGAAACCGGAGCUAAUACCGGAUAGUUCCUUGAACCGCAUGGUUCAAGGAUGAAAGACGGUUUCGGCUGUCACUUACAGAUGGACCCGCGGCGCAUUAGCUAGUUGGUGGGGUAAUGGCUCACCAAGGCGACGAUGCGUAGCCGACCUGAGAGGGUGAUCGGCCACACUGGGACUGAGACACGGCCCAGACUCCUACGGGAGGCAGCAGUAGGGAAUCUUCCGCAAUGGACGAAAGUCUGACGGAGCAACGCCGCGUGAGUGAUGAAGGUUUUCGGAUCGUAAAGCUCUGUUGUUAGGGAAGAACAAGUGCGAGAGUAACUGCUCGCACCUUGACGAUACCUAACCAGAAAGCCACGGCUAA